AGAGGUCUUCAGUAAGGUAUGGCCAAAUCACAGUCAUUUCUCCUCCAUUUUUCCAUCCCAUGAGGAUUUGGGGCACAGAUGCACACAUCACCUAGAAGAAUAUUUGAGUCAUUCAGAGGAUCAUGAAGAAGCUUUCAGAGAAAUGUACUCAAGGCUCAAAAGGCAAUGCAGGAGAACAAGGUGAUCCCGGUGGCAAAAGCAGAGUGGGAGGAACAGCCAGGGCACUGAGAGAGAUUUUCUCACUGAGAGAGAAACUGAGACCUUCUACCAACACCCAACACCAACUUGUCAGCCAUGUAGAAGAACCUAUGAUGACGGUAGCCCGAGUUGACACCGAAUGGCACCCUCAUGAGAUACCCAUAGCCAGAAUCACCUAGCCAAGCAACUCCUGAAGUCCUGAC
Tupaia belangeri chinensis (Chinese tree shrew) is the source of this 401-nucleotide long non-coding RNA. RefSeq lists it as uncharacterized. The transcript is spliced from 3 exons. The record is from RefSeq and is a predicted model, not a curated record. Lineage: Eukaryota; Metazoa; Chordata; Mammalia; Scandentia; Tupaiidae.